GGUUGUUCUAGAAUUCUGAAAACUAUCCACAGGUUACUGGGAUACAAGAAAGGCUCAAUGAGGGUGGAAUCUUAACAAAGUAUUUUUUUUUUUGAAGGUCCCUGUUGAAACAAUGGAUGCAAGUCUGUUAUCAAAAGGGUUGUGCUGAAAACUCCAAAAUAAUAAACAGACAUUUUAUAGGCAGAGAGUUCUGAGAACCAGGAAAAUUUGCUGUUCAUUAGGCUGUAGUGUAUUCAGUCUUUGGCGACAUCUUAUGGAUACUGCACUAGCUAGUUUUAUAGGGUCAUCAGAAACAAGGAAACUUCAACUGAGAAAAUGGCUCUAUCAAGAUUGUGUUGCAGGCAAGUCUGUAAAGCAGUUUCUUUAAUGAGUGAUUGGUAUCGACGGGGCCAGGCCAUUGUAGGUGGUACCAUCUUGGGCUGGUGCUCCUGGGUUAUAAAAAAAAAAAAGUAGAUUAAGCAAGUCACGAGGAACAAGUUGGUAAGCAGCAUGCCUCCAUGGCUUCUGCAUCAGCUUCUGGCCCAGACUCCUGACCAGUUGGAAUUCCCGCCUUGGCUUCCCUCAGUGAACGACUGAGAUUGACUGUGGGUCACGGAACAAAAGAAAGUGAAAUCACAGACCGUAUUGUGACUAACUGUGCCUGAAGAUGUUAUUAUGUACCCCAUUUUAUGGAAACCAAACUUGAAAAAGAUUAAGUACAACGAUCAAGGUUAAAGUGAGUGUU
Long non-coding RNA from Mastomys coucha (southern multimammate mouse), 724 nucleotides. RefSeq lists it as uncharacterized. The record is from RefSeq and is a predicted model, not a curated record. The transcript has 3 exons. NCBI's taxonomy places the organism in Eukaryota, Metazoa, Chordata, Mammalia, Rodentia, Muridae.